GAUGAACGCUAGCGGCGGGCCUAAUACAUGCAAGUCGAACGGAACUACUGAUUUCGGUUGGUAGUUUAGUGGCGCACGGGUGAGUAACGCGUACACAACGUACCUAUUACCGGGGAAUAGCCUUUUGGAAACGAGGAGUAAUACCCCAUAGUAUGUUUGGAAGGCAUCUUCUGAAUAUUAAAGUUACGGCGGUAAUAGAUCGGUGUGCGUAAGAUUAGCUAGUUGGUGAGGUAACGGCUCACCAAGGCGACGAUCUUUAGGGGCGUGAGAGCGUGAUCCCCCACACGGGUACUGAGACACGGACCCGACUCCUACGGGAGGCAGCAGUAAGGAAUAUUGGUCAAUGGAGGC
Molecule: ribosomal RNA, 351 nt
Filed under: uncultured bacterium
Lineage: Bacteria
Description: bacterial SSU rRNA
Rfam family: Bacterial small subunit ribosomal RNA
Source: RNAcentral